GACGAACGCUGGCGGCGUGCUUAACACAUGCAAGUCGAACGGUAAGGCCUUUCGGGGUCAUACGAGUGGCGAACGGGUGAGUAACACGUGAGCAACCUGCCCUUGACUUCGGAAUACCAGCUGGAAACAGCUGCUAAUACCGGAUAUGACCCUGGUCCUCCUGGACCGGGGUGGAAAGCUCCGGCGGUCAGGGAUGGGCUCGCGGCCUAUCAGCUUGUUGGUGAGGUAAUGGCUCACCAAGGCUUCGACGGGUAGCCGGCCUGAGAGGGCGACCGGCCACACUGGGACUGAGAUACGGCCCAGACUCCUACGGGAGGCAGCAGUGGGGAAUAUUGCACAAUGGGCGCAAGCCUGAUGCAGCAACGCCGCGUGCGGGAUGACGGCCUUCGGGUUGUAAACCGCUUUCAGUAGGGACGAAGCCACAAGUGACGGUACCUACAGAAGAAGGACCAGCUAACUACGUGCCAGCAGCCGCGGUGAUACGUAGGGUCCGAGCGUUGUCCGGAAUUAUUGGGCGUAAAGGGCUUGUAGGGCGGUCCGUCGCGUCAGGAGUGAAAACUCGGGGCUUAACCCCGAGCCUGCUUUUGAUACGGGCGGACUAGAGGGAUGCAGGGGAGAACGGAAUUCCUGGUGGAGCGGUGGAAUGCGCAGAUAUCAUGAGGAACACCGGUGGCGAAGGCGGUUCUCUGGGCAUCACCUGACGCUGAGAAGCGAAAGCGUGGGGAGCAAACAGGCUAGAAUACCCUGGUAGUCCACGCCGUAAACGGUGGGCACUAGGUGUGGGGGACAUUCCACGUUCUCCGUGCCGAAGCUAACGCAUUAAGUGCCCCGCCUGGGGAGUACGGCCGCAAGGCUAAAACUCAAAGGAAUUGACGGGGGCCCGCACAAGCGGCGGAGCAUGCGGAUUAAUUCGAUGCAACGCGAAGAACCUUACCUGGGUUUGACAUACACCGGAAAGCUGCAGAGAUGUAGCCCCCGCAAGGUCGGUGUACAGGUGGUGCAUGGCUGUCGUCAGCUCGUGUCGUGAGAUGUUGGGUUAAGUCCCGCAACGAGCGCAACCCUCGUUCUAUGUUGCCAGCACGUCAUGGUGGGGACUCAUAGGAGACUGCCGGGGUCAACUCGGAGGAAGGUGGGGAUGACGUCAAGUCAUCAUGCCCCUUAAGUCCAGGGCUUCACGCAUGCUACAAUGGCCGGUACAAAGGGCUGCGAUACCGCAAGGUGGAGCGAAUCCCAAAAAGCCGGUCUCAGUUCGGAUUGGGGUCUGCAACUCGACCCCAUGAAGUCGGAGUCGCUAGUAAUCGCAGAUCAGCAACGCUGCGGUGAAUACGUUCCCGGGCCU
RNAcentral lists this ribosomal RNA (1339 nucleotides) under uncultured bacterium. Its description in RNAcentral is "bacterial SSU rRNA". It matches the Rfam family "Bacterial small subunit ribosomal RNA", at positions 28 to 1381 of the family's 1533-position model. The record is from RNAcentral.